UACAGAGGGGGCAAGCGUUGUUCGGAAUUACUGGGCGUAAAGGGCGCGUAGGCGGCCUUCUAAGUCGAACGUGAAAUCCCCGGGCUCAACCCGGGAACUGCGUCCGAUACUGGAAGGCUUGAAUCCGGGAGAGGGAUGCGGAAUUCCAGGUGUAGCGGUGAAAUGCGUAGAUAUCAUUUGGAACGCCAAUGGUGAAAACAGGUAGCUGGGGAUGUGCUGACGCUGAGACACGAAAGCCAGGGGAGCAAACGGG
RNAcentral lists this ribosomal RNA (253 nucleotides) under uncultured bacterium. RNAcentral describes it as "partial 16S ribosomal RNA". It matches the Rfam family "Bacterial small subunit ribosomal RNA", at positions 524 to 776 of the family's 1533-position model. The record is from RNAcentral.